Molecule: transfer RNA, 68 nt
Filed under: human gut metagenome
Rfam family: tRNA
About the family: Transfer RNA (tRNA) molecules are approximately 80 nucleotides in length. Their secondary structure includes four short double-helical elements and three loops (D, anti-codon, and T loops). Further hydrogen bonds mediate the characteristic L-shaped molecular structure. tRNAs have two regions of fundamental functional importance: the anti-codon, which is responsible for specific mRNA codon recognition, and the 3' end, to which the tRNAs corresponding amino acid is attached (by aminoacyl-tRNA synthetases). tRNAs cope with the degeneracy of the genetic code in two manners: having more than one tRNA (with a specific anti-codon) for a particular amino acid; and 'wobble' base-pairing, i.e. permitting non-standard base-pairing at the 3rd anti-codon position.
Source: RNAcentral
GGGUGUAGUUCAAUUGGUAGAGCAACGGUCUCCAAAACCGUGUGUUGGGGGUUCGAGUCCCUCCGCCC